UACGUAGGUGGCAAGCGUUGUCCGAAUUUACUGGGCGUAAAGAGCGCGCAGGCGGUCGUUCAAGUCGCGUGUGAAAGCCCCCGGCUCAACUGGGGAGGGUCACGCGAUACUGAUCGACUCGAAGGCAGGAGAGGGAAGUGGAAUUCCCGGUGUAGUGGUGAAAUGCGUAGAUAUCGGGAGGAACACCAGUGGCGAAGGCGACUUCCUGGCCUGUUCUUGACGCUGAGGCGCGAAAGCUAGGGGAGCAAACGGG
RNAcentral lists this ribosomal RNA (253 nucleotides) under uncultured bacterium. Its description in RNAcentral is "partial 16S ribosomal RNA". It matches the Rfam family "Bacterial small subunit ribosomal RNA", at positions 524 to 776 of the family's 1533-position model. The record is from RNAcentral.